RNAcentral lists this ribosomal RNA (484 nucleotides) under uncultured bacterium. RNAcentral describes it as "partial 16S ribosomal RNA". It matches the Rfam family "Bacterial small subunit ribosomal RNA", at positions 29 to 507 of the family's 1533-position model. The record is from RNAcentral.
AUUGAACGCUGGCGGCAUGCUUUACACAUACAAGUCGAACGGCAGCGCGGGCUUCGGCCUGGCGGCGAGUGGCGAACGGGUGAGUAAUACAUCGGAACGUGCCCAGUAGUGGGGGAUAGCUCGGCGAAAGCCGGAUUAAUACCGCAUACGACCUGAGGGUGAAAGCGGGGGAUCUUCGGACCUCGCGCUAUUGGAGCGGCCGAUGGCAGAUUAGCUAGUUGGUGGGGUAAAGGCCUACCAAGGCGACGAUCUGUAGCUGGUCUGAGAGGACGACCAGCCACACUGGGACUGAGACACGGCCCAGACUCCUACGGGAGGCAGCAGUGGGGAAUUUUGGACAAUGGGCGAAAGCCUGAUCCAGCAAUGCCGCGUGUGUGAUGAAGGCCUUCGGGUUGUAAAGCACUUUUGGCGGGAACGAAAAGGACUGUGCCAAUACCACGGUUCGAUGACGGUACCCGCAGAAUAAGCACCGGCUAACUACGUG